AGAGUUUGAUCAUGGCUCAGAUUGAACGCUGGCGGCAGGCCUAACACAUGCAAGUCGAACGGUAACAGAAAGCAGCUUGCUGCUUUGCUGACGAGUGGCGGACGGGUGAGUAAUGUCUGGGAAACUGCCUGAUGGAGGGGGAUAACUACUGGAAACGGUGGCUAAUACCGCAUAACGUCGCAAGACCAAAGAGGGGGACCUUCGGGCCUCUUGCCAUCAGAUGUGCCCAGAUGGGAUUAGCUUGUUGGUGAGGUAACGGCUCACCAAGGCGACGAUCCCUAGCUGGUCUGAGAGGAUGACCAGCCACACUGGAACUGAGACACGGUCCAGACUCCUACGGGAGGCAGCAGUGGGGAAUAUUGCACAAUGGGCGCAAGCCUGAUGCAGCCAUGCCGCGUGUAUGAAGAAGGCCUUCGGGUUGUAAAGUACUUUCAGCGGGGAGGAAGGUGUUGUGGUUAAUAACCGCAGCAAUUGACGUUACCCGCAGAAGAAGCACCGGCUAACUCCGUGCCAGCAGCCGCGGUAAUACGGAGGGUGCAAGCGUUAAUCGGAAUUACUGGGCGUAAAGCGCACGCAGGCGGUCUGUCAAGUCGGAUGUGAAAUCCCCGGGCUCAACCUGGGAACUGCAUUCGAAACUGGCAGGCUUGAGUCUUGUAGAGGGGGGUAGAAUUCCAGGUGUAGCGGUGAAAUGCGUAGAGAUCUGGAGGAAUACCGGUGGCGAAGGCGGCCCCCUGGACAAAGACUGACGCUCAGGUGCGAAAGCGUGGGGAGCAAACAGGAUUAGAUACCCUGGUAGUCCACGCCGUAAACGAUGUCUACUUGGAGGUUGUGCCCUUGAGGCGUGGCUUCCGGAGCUAACGCGUUAAGUAGACCGCCUGGGGAGUACGGCCGCAAGGUUAAAACUCAAAUGAAUUGACGGGGGCCCGCACAAGCGGUGGAGCAUGUGGUUUAAUUCGAUGCAACGCGAAGAACCUUACCUGGUCUUGACAUCCACGGAAGUUUUCAGAGAUGAGAAUGUGCCUUCGGGAACCGUGAGACAGGUGCUGCAUGGCUGUCGUCAGCUCGUGUUGUGAAAUGUUGGGUUAAGUCCCGCAACGAGCGCAACCCUUAUCCUUUGUUGCCAGCGGUUAGGCCGGGAACUCAAAGGAGACUGCCAGUGAUAAACUGGAGGAAGGUGGGGAUGACGUCAAGUCAUCAUGGCCCUUACGACCAGGGCUACACACGUGCUACAAUGGCGCAUACAAAGAGAAGCGACCUCGCGAGAGCAAGCGGACCUCAUAAAGUGCGUCGUAGUCCGGAUUGGAGUCUGCAACUCGACUCCAUGAAGUCGGAAUCGCUAGUAAUCGUGGAUCAGAAUGCCACGGUGAAUACGUUCCCGGGCCUUGUACACACCGCCCGUCACACCAUGGGAGUGGGUUGCAAAAGAAGUAGGUAGCUUAACCUUCGGGAGGGCGCUUACCACUUUGUGAUUCAUGACUGGGGUGAAGUCGUAACAAGGUAACCGUAGGGGAACCUGCGGUUGGAUCACCU
Molecule: ribosomal RNA, 1530 nt
Filed under: Salmonella enterica subsp. diarizonae
Lineage: Bacteria; Pseudomonadati; Pseudomonadota; Gammaproteobacteria; Enterobacterales; Enterobacteriaceae
Description: bacterial SSU rRNA
Rfam family: Bacterial small subunit ribosomal RNA
Source: RNAcentral